GGGGAAUUUUCCGCAAUGGGCGAAAGCCUGACGGAGCAAGACCGCGUGGGGGAAGAAGGCUCUUGGGUUGUAAACCCCUUUUCUCUGGGAAGAAAGUUGUGAAAGCAACCUGACGGUACCAGAGGAAUCAGCACCGGCUAACUCCGUGCCAGCAGCCGCGGUAAGACGGAGGAUGCAAGCGUUAUCCGGAAUGAUUGGACGUAAAGCGUCCGCAGGUGGCAGUUCAAGUCUGCUGUCAAAGACCGGGGCUUAACCUCGGAAAGGCAGUGGAAACUGAACAGCUAGAGUAUGGUAGGGGCAGAGGGAAUUCCUGGUGUAGCGGUGAAAUGCGUAGAGAUCAGGAGGAACAUCGGUGGCGAAGGCGCUCUGCUGGACCAUAACUGACACUCAGGGACGAAAGCUAGGGGAGCGAAUGGGAUUAGAUACCCCAGUAGUC
Molecule: ribosomal RNA, 436 nt
Filed under: uncultured cyanobacterium
Lineage: Bacteria; Bacillati; Cyanobacteriota
Description: bacterial SSU rRNA
Rfam family: Bacterial small subunit ribosomal RNA
Source: RNAcentral